Molecule: long non-coding RNA, 639 nt
Organism: Acanthopagrus latus (yellowfin seabream)
Lineage: Eukaryota; Metazoa; Chordata; Actinopteri; Spariformes; Sparidae
Exons: 3
Source: RefSeq, a predicted model, not a curated record
GGCAGAGCCAGACCCCCUGGAGGAAUGGACACCAAGAGUCACAUCACAUAUUGGACAUCUUAAGACGUGAUAUAUCUCCACUCCUGUUUAUCAACCUGAUCGCAGCAGCAAUUGGCAGAGGUGACCUCCAUUGUCAGGUGUCACCUGACAGGAGCUCCAUGAACUCCAUGAACAUAACGUACAGAGAGUGGGACCAGAAGAGAGAGAGCAGGAGCGUCUGCUGUCCGGCCACGCUGCACUCAAAUCGUAUCCUGUGGGAACACGAAGCAUCACAAGAUCAUGGCUAAUGUACAGUAAAGUAUUCUUGCUGUCCGGGGCGUAUGAACAGACUGAGCCAUGCUGCAUCAACAGGACAAAGACACACAGCGAGGUGAAAAGUCUGCCAGCUGCUUCAGGCAGACGCAACCUGAGGCAACCCAGACGGCCUCCACCUCGGCUGGGCCUGUCGUCAGCUCUAAAAGUAUUUUGUGUACGGAAUGAAUGCAGUCUUCUCCUCAAUCCUCAGGCUAAUGUUUCCUCCCUCGGUGUGAAAUGCCAUCCCGUGGCCUCGGGGAGGGUGAAGACAGAGCCCUGGCUCGACACCCAGCGCUGGCUCAGUGUACACAAACACACUUUCCUCAUCAAUAUUUAAAUACACUU